GUCCCGUUGGCGCAGCGGUUAGCGCUCCGUUCUUAUAAGGGGACGUUCCCCAUAUGCCAUGCGGUGGUCGCGGGUUCAAACCCCGCACGGGACA
Thoreauomyces humboldtii is the source of this 94-nucleotide non-coding RNA. The record is from the annotation of a GenBank genome assembly. NCBI's taxonomy places the organism in Eukaryota, Fungi, Chytridiomycota, Chytridiomycetes, Spizellomycetales, Powellomycetaceae.